GAUGAACGCUGGCGGCGUGCCUAAUACAUGCAAGUCGAGCGAACAGACGAGGAGCUUGCUCCUCUGACGUUAGCGGCGGACGGGUGAGUAACACGUGAAUAACCUACCUAUAAGACUGGGAUAACUUCGGGAAACCGGAGCUAAUACCGGAUAAUAUAUUGAACCGCAUGGUUCAAUAGUGAAAGACGGUUUUGCUGUCACUUAUAGAUGGAUCCGCGCCGCAUUAGCUAGUUGGUAAGGUAACGGCUUACCAAGGCAACGAUGCGUAGCCGACCUGAGAGGGUGAUCGGCCACACUGGAACUGAGACACGGUCCAGACCCCUACGGGAGGCAGCAGUAGGGAAUCUUCCGCAAUGGGCGAAAGCCUGACGGAGCAACGCCGCGUGAGUGAUGAAGGUCUUCGGAUCGUAAAACUCUGUUAUUAGGGAAGAACAAAUGUGUAAGUAACUAUGCACGUCUUGACGGUACCUAAUCAGAAAGCCACGGCUAGCUACGUG
This 497-nucleotide ribosomal RNA is filed under the name uncultured bacterium. RNAcentral's name for it is "partial 16S ribosomal RNA". It matches the Rfam family "Bacterial small subunit ribosomal RNA", at positions 28 to 507 of the family's 1533-position model. The record is from RNAcentral.